Molecule: RNA transcript, 4851 nt
Organism: Chiroxiphia lanceolata (lance-tailed manakin)
Lineage: Eukaryota; Metazoa; Chordata; Aves; Passeriformes; Pipridae
Gene: AFG2B
Gene name: spermatogenesis associated 5 like 1
Exons: 13
Source: RefSeq, a predicted model, not a curated record
CAGCCGGCCGGGCCCGCGCGGAGCAGGGCGGUCGCUGCCCUCGCCCGCGGAGGGAGCGAUGGAGCCGGCGGCCUUGAAGCUGCUUCCACCGGACCCGGGAGAUGAGGGCACUCAGCGCUGCCGGCUGGGACCUGCCGCGCUGUCCUUGCUGGGGGCCCGGCUCGGCGCCCCGCUGAGGAUCUCGCUGCCCGGCGGGUGCUGUGUGUGUACGGCGUGGCCCCGGCACGACCUGGCCGACGGGUUCCUGCAGGCCGACCUGACCUGCAGCACCGCGGGCCUGGCCCCGCGGGCCCUGCGCGGGCUCUCGCUGGAUGUGCAACAGCUGGAGCCGCUGCCCCACCGGCAGCUGGGGAAGGCGGCGGUCGGAGUGGUCCUCAGGAGCGCCGCGCUGAAAAAGUCGACUCCCAGAGCGGUGUUGCAGGAGACCAUCAGAGAACUGUUGAGAAAUGUUUACGUUUUGCCUGGUUAUGUUGUUACUGUUGCCCCGAGUCCCGAAAAUCCCGUGGUGUAUAUUGAAAUACUGUCUGCAGACUCUUUGGUGGAGGAAGCUGGAUUGAUAACCCCCCAAACAAGCAUAAAAAUUAAGGAGGUGAUCACUUUAGAAUGGUACAGACAUUUGUCAGAAGGCAUUGCAAAAACUUCAGUUGCAGGACUAGAUGAUGUGGGAAAGUCUUUGAAAGAAAUGAUCGAUCUGCCUUUGCGCUUUCCAAAAACUUUUAAGAACCUGGGGCUUUCUGUCCCUAAUGGAGUGCUGUUAAUUGGGCCCCCAGGUGUAGGGAAAACUCUUAUGGUAAAGGCAGUAGCAGAAGAGGUGGGUGCAUUUCUGUUUGGCGUCAGCGGCCCAGCCCUCCAUGGCUCAAGGCCAGGAGAAGGUGAAGAAAAUUUGAGGAGAGUCUUUGAAAAAGGCAGAGAAAUGUCACAGGAAGGCCCAACCGUUCUCUUCUUUGAUGAAAUUGAUUCUUUGUGCCCGAAGCGAGGAAGUUCAAACAAUGCUCCUGAAGAUCGGAUUGUUGCUCAGCUGCUGACGCUCCUGGAUGGUGUAAGGAGCGAGGGUAAGAUGGUCAUUGUGGCAGCAACAAACAGGCCAGAUGCCUUAGACCCUGCACUCAGAAGACCUGGCAGAUUUGACAGAGAGGUUAUUAUUGGGACCCCAACAGUCACACAAAGAAGAUCCAUCCUGCAGUUGCUUACAUCUAAUAUGCCCAUUUCUGCAGAUGUUGAUUUGGCUCAGCUGGCAGAGAUGACCCCUGGGUAUGUGGGAGCUGACCUCACAGCACUCUGCAGGGAAGCUGUUAUGCAGGCUGUGUCCCACAGCUCCUUGGAGUCAACUGAAACUGAAACCAUGAUUAACAUGGAAGAUUUCCAAGAAGCUUUUAAAAAAAUUCAACCAUCCUCUUUUCGAAGUGCAGUUGGACUAACAGAGUGUAAACCUGUGACUUGGGAGCAAAUUGGUGGUCUUGAAGAUGUAAAAUUAAAGUUAAAACAGAGUAUUGAGUGGCCUAUGAAGUUUCCUCAGGCAUUUGCUAGGAUGGGCCUGUCCCAUCCCAAGGGGAUCCUUCUCUAUGGGCCUUCUGGCUGUGCCAAAACCACGCUGGUGAGGGCUGUGGCCACCAGUUGUCACUGUUCCUUUCUCUCUGUAAGUGGUGCUGACCUGUUCUCACCUUAUGUUGGAGACUCAGAGAAGAUUUUGUCUCAGGUUUUUCGCCAAGCAAGAGCAAACACUCCAGCAAUAAUAUUCCUGGAUGAGAUUGACACUAUCCUGGGCUCUCGGUCACACGGCAGAACUGGCCCUGGGGUCUCACAGCGGGUUCUGUCUGUUCUCCUCAACGAGUUGGAUGGUGUUGGGCUCAAAGUUACAGAAAGAAGAGGAGGCAAAUUACAGCUUGAGGGGCAGUGCCAAGAGCAAAGUGAUGAUGAGGAAAGAAAGCUAGAGUUUCAGGAAACUUUGAACAAAGAUUUCAUGGUAGUUGCUGCAACAAAUAGACCAGAUAUGUUGGAUGAUGCCUUAUUGCGUCCUGGAAGGUUGGACAAGAUGAUCUAUAUUCCACCUCCAGAUCUGAAGGGAAGACUUUCCAUUUUGAAAAUCUGCACCGAAAAAAUUCCAUUGGAUACUGAUGUGUCACUACAGGAUGUGGCAGCCCUAACAGACCUCUUCUCUGGAGCCGAUAUUGCAAAUCUGUGCAAGGAGGCUGCUUUGUUGGCUUUGCAAGAGAAUGGACUUGAAGCAACUGCUGUAAAACACGAGCAUUUUGUGAAAUCACUGAAGACUGUAAAACCAUCCUUAAACAGAAAAGACUUGGAAUUUUAUGAAAAAUUUUAUAAUCAAGAAUUAGCCUCUUGAAUCAAAAAGGAGUGGCAUAGGGAGCCAGCAGAGCGUGCAGAAAAGGCAGCCUUUUCUUCCUCUCACUGCUUUCCAGUGGGCAAGAGAGAAGGGGAGAAAUGUAGACGAGUCAUCUGCUGGCACCACUCACCUCCACCCUGCUCCUGGCACCUGUCUGAGCUCUGGAAGAGGCAGACCCUGGCCUCACCUGGGCGUUUGCCUGGAUAUGCUGCUCUUUGGGCAGCUGCCUGGAGAAGAGGACAGACAAGAAGACAAAGGAGAAAUGGAGAAGAAAGCUCAUUCCCCUGGCUGGAAUACUGUCCGUGGCAGCAAUUGGGGCGUUUUCUUUUAGCAUGUAUUCCCUAUUCGGCAAAUCUGAUGUGAUGAUUAACAGGAGUGGCAAUCCAGAACCCUGGGAAAAUAUUGAUCCUACCAAGCCUCAGAAGCUGUUAACAAUCCAACAGAAAUGGCAGCCUAUAGAAGAGCUGGAAAAUGUCAAAAAGCUUAUGAAGUGAGAAGUUUCUGUUGCCUCAAAAAGGUGCCCUAUGAAUCUAGUGGAAUCACUUCUGCACAAACUUGACUACUGAAAUCAGUGUGCGGAAAUGCUUCUGCUACGUUUUUAGGGUCUUCCUCCAUUUUUUUGGACUCUGAAUGAGGAGUUUCGUGUUGCUUUAAAGUUGGCAUACAGCAUCCAUCUAGUCCAAAAAAAACUGACUCAAAUAUUCAUUUUCAGCAGGCAUUUGAUGCCAAAUGUUGAAUAUUCAGAUGGUAAUUAUAGAUGGAAAAAGCCUUCACAGUUUUUGUAGAAUUUUGAGAUUUUUUUUCAAAAUACAUUAGUUUUGUUAUUUUAUAAAUUUUUAAUUAAAUAAAUUCUAAAUUUUUACAACAUUUUAUGUAAAUUCCGUAAAUGGAGGUUACCCAAAAGCCCUUCUAAACUGGGAUUCCCGGUCUGCUUCCUCUCUAUGCUGUAUUUCAAUGCAGUAUAUAGACCAAAGUCAUAUCCAGAAGAUGUCUUUGUAUGACAACAUAUGUGGUCAUAAAGUACACUUGCAUUUCUUGUCUACAUUAGAUGUGAUGACAGUUUAAGUCAAAACUAAUGUUCUGCUGCAAAUACUCAAACUUAUAUGUGUGCUCACCUUAACCCGCUGAGGAGUCCAGUAGGUUAUUUAAGGGUGUGUUUGAGACUGCAGGAUUAGAAUUUAAGAACUGAGCAUGGCUAAAACAGAAAUGAAAAUGAGAUAAUUUCUGCUGUGUUUAAAUAUUGUUCAUGUUUAAAUUUAGAAAAAGUUACUAGAAUUAGGAAACUUGCAUUAUCCAAAACUAUGUUAAUUUCUUCUUUUUGUGCAAAGUUGUUCAAGUGCAAGCUCAAGUGUACUGCACAGUUAACAAUAUUUUUAAACAUUUCUACGUGCUGUUAGGAACGUCUACUUUAUCAAAUAGAAACUAACAUAUUAAAAUUAGAAAUGAUUCUAUGAAGAGACACUUCCUUUUUAAGCAUCUGUAUGUUUUCUUAUUGGUUGGCCAGGGAAAGAAUGUAAUGGGCAGACCCACAGUAAAUUAAUGAGACAAGAAAUGCAUCCAAUGAUAGAACAGUCCUUUUGUAGAUAUUUUCUGUAUUUUUGUAGAUAUUUUCUAUCUUCUAAGCAGCUUCACAGUCUGUUACUCAGUUUCUUUUACAAUGGACUUUCAGAAGGGAGAUUGGUUUCUGUCAGGAAGAAAACAAAAGUGAAACAAGUGCUAACUGGAAAAAGUCCCCGUAAGUGAGUAAGAGUCAAGUGCUUUAGGUUGCUCUGCUGCAGCAAAGACAAACUUCAGCUAGAAAAGCUGCUUCCCAAAUUUCACGGUGGCUUGGCUUCAGAAGUUUUAUGUUUUCUUCAGCUGAGGAAAAAAAAGUUAAAAUGUUACUUUAUCAGAUUCAGCGUAAAUAUUUAUCAAGUAAUGAUGACUCAGCAGCUUUUAUGUUUUAGAGCAAGAGGAACUACUAGUUUUCAGAAUACCUUCUUAGCUUUCAUUUUAAGGAAUGACAUUACAAGGUUGCAUAGCAUAGAACCACAAAGAUACAAUGCUCUGAGCAAUACAUGUUUAAAGUAUUUUAAUACAGAAAAUAUUUCAAAAUAUUUCUCUAAGUUAUUCUGUAUUUCCAUAUUUUUACUGGACUGUGCCAAACAAAACAAAGUGCUGUGCUCUGAGUUGAUGCAUGAAUUAAAUGACUGUGUUCUUCAGUACACCAGUUGUAUGGUCUGUAAAUACUAUGACCUAAGUAUCUGCCAGUGUUGAGGAAAUAAAUAUAAGUAAUUUUUAUGUAAUUUUUGUAUUUAACUACUUUUCAGUGAUGUUUCCAGUAACAUAUUAAGCAGUAUGACUGCUAUCAGUCACGGGUUGUUGCUUCUCUCAUCCUGUCCUGAAGCAUAACAGCUUUGGUAAUAAACUGUUUUGCCUUGUUAGCUGCUCUAUUUUUUGGGUUUUUUUAAUAUAGAUUGUUGGGAGGGUUGUCACAUAAUGUGAGAAAUCAAAAUAUUUUUCUGCACUUC